This 222-nucleotide long non-coding RNA is filed under the name Vigna radiata. RNAcentral describes it as "long non-coding RNA (VRAD_LNC008204)". Lineage: Eukaryota; Viridiplantae; Streptophyta; Magnoliopsida; Fabales; Fabaceae. The record is from RNAcentral.
AUGGGUGUAAGUAGAUAGUGUAUGUGGGAACAGUUUGGGAGGAUGAGAAAGGUGUGGUUGUACGCAUAGAAACAAAGAAGUUUGGAUGAGAGGAGGAAUGAAGAGUCUCGGUUUGAUGUUACAAGGAGAUUUUUCUGUAUGAAAAGUAAAAGGAAGAAAGGUGGGGCCUUAAUAGUUGUUAGGCAGAGGAGAUAGGUUUUAGUUUUUUCUUUAGUUUAUUUU